AACGCACAUUGCGCCCGCCGGAACUCCGGCGGGCACGCCUGUCCGAGCGUCAUUUCAACCCCUCAGGCACCCCUUCUGGGGCGGGCCUGGUGCUGGGGCUCGGCCGCCUCCUCCGGCGGCCGUCCCCGAAAUGCAGUGGCGGUCACGCCGCAAUCCCUUGCGCAGUAGCACAUCUCGCACCGGAGAGCGUCGCGGUCCACGCCGUGAAACCCCCAACCUCAACGGUUGACCUCGGAUCAGGUGGGAAUACCCGCUGAACUUAA
RNAcentral lists this unclassified non-coding RNA (263 nucleotides) under uncultured fungus. RNAcentral describes it as "partial contains 5.8S ribosomal RNA, internal transcribed spacer 2, and large subunit ribosomal RNA". Lineage: Eukaryota; Fungi. The record is from RNAcentral.